GGAUGAGCCCGCGGCCUAUCAGCUUGUUGGUGGGGUGAUGGCCUACCAAGGCGACGACGGGUAGCCGGCCUGAGAGGGCGACCGGCCACACUGGGACUGAGACACGGCCCAGACUCCUACGGGAGGCAGCAGUGGGGAAUAUUGCGCAAUGGGCGGAAGCCUGACGCAGCGACGCCGCGUGGGGGAUGACGGCCUUCGGGUUGUAAACCUCUUUCGACCUUGACGAAGCCUUUCGGGGUGACGGUAGGGGUAGAAGAAGCACCGGCCAACUACGUGCCAGCAGCCGCGGUAAUACGUAGGGUGCGAGCGUUGUCCGGAAUUAUUGGGCGUAAAGAGCUCGUAGGCGGUCUGUCGCGUCGGUCGUGAAAACUUGGGGCUUAACCCUGAGCUUGCGGUCGAUACGGGCAUGACUGGAGUUCGGCAGGGGAGACUGGAAUUCCUGGUGUAGCGGUGAAAUGCGCAGAUAUCAGGAGGAACACCGGUGGCGAAGGCGGGUCUCUUGGGCCAAACUUGAC
RNAcentral lists this ribosomal RNA (515 nucleotides) under uncultured Actinomycetes bacterium. RNAcentral describes it as "bacterial SSU rRNA". It matches the Rfam family "Bacterial small subunit ribosomal RNA", at positions 223 to 744 of the family's 1533-position model. The record is from RNAcentral. Lineage: Bacteria; Bacillati; Actinomycetota; Actinomycetes.